This 497-nucleotide ribosomal RNA is filed under the name uncultured bacterium. RNAcentral's name for it is "partial 16S ribosomal RNA". It matches the Rfam family "Bacterial small subunit ribosomal RNA", at positions 28 to 507 of the family's 1533-position model. The record is from RNAcentral.
GAUGAACGCUGGCGGCGUGCCUAAUACAUGCAAGUCGAGCGAACGGACGAGAAGCUUGCUUCUCUGAUGCUAGCGGCGGACGGGUGAGUAACACGUGGAUAACCUACCUAUAAGACUGGGAUAACUUCGGGAAACCGGAGCUAAUACCGGAUAAUAUUUUGAACCGCAUGGUUCAAAAGUGAAAGACGGUCUUGCUGUCACUUAUAGAUGGAUCCGCGCUGCAUUAGCUAGUUGGUAAGGUAACGGCUUACCAAGGCAACGAUGCAUAGCCGACCUGAGAGGGUGAUCGGCCACACUGGAACUGAGACACGGUCCAGACUCCUAUGGGAGGCAGCAGUAGGGAAUCUUCCGCAAUGGGCGAAAGCCUGACGGAGCAACGCCGCGUGAGUGAUGAAGGUCUUCGGAUCGUAAAACUCUGUUAUUAGGGAAGAACAUAUGUGUAAGUAGCUGUGCACAUCUUGACGGUACCUAAUCAGAAAGCCACGGCUAACUACGUG